RNAcentral lists this ribosomal RNA (439 nucleotides) under uncultured beta proteobacterium. RNAcentral's name for it is "bacterial SSU rRNA". It matches the Rfam family "Bacterial small subunit ribosomal RNA", at positions 1055 to 1495 of the family's 1533-position model. The record is from RNAcentral. Lineage: Bacteria; Pseudomonadati; Pseudomonadota; Betaproteobacteria.
UCAGCUCGUGUCGUGAGAUGUUGGGUUAAGUCCCGCAACGAGCGCAACCCUUGUCAUUAAUUGCCAUCAUUUAGUUGGGCACUUUAAUGAGACUGCCGGUGACAAACCGGAGGAAGGUGGGGAUGACGUCAAGUCCUCAUGGCCCUUAUGGGUAGGGCUUCACACGUCAUACAAUGGUCGGUACAGAGGGUUGCCAAGCCGCGAGGUGGAGCCAAUCCCAGAAAGCCGAUCGUAGUCCGGAUCGCAGUCUGCAACUCGACUGCGUGAAGUCGGAAUCGCUAGUAAUCGCGGAUCAGCAUGUCGCGGUGAAUACGUUCCCGGGUCUUGUACACACCGCCCGUCACACCAUGGGAGUGGGUUCUACCAGAAGUAGUUAGCCUAACCGUAAGGAGGGCGAUUACCACGGUAGGAUUCAUGACUGGGGUGAAGUCGUAACAAG